RNAcentral lists this small nuclear RNA (19 nucleotides) under Arabidopsis thaliana (thale cress). Its description in RNAcentral is "snRNA_03712". The record is from RNAcentral. Lineage: Eukaryota; Viridiplantae; Streptophyta; Magnoliopsida; Brassicales; Brassicaceae.
CGACUUCCUCUCUCAUCAC